RNAcentral lists this ribosomal RNA (534 nucleotides) under uncultured Bacteroidota bacterium. Its description in RNAcentral is "bacterial SSU rRNA". It matches the Rfam family "Bacterial small subunit ribosomal RNA", at positions 366 to 908 of the family's 1533-position model. The record is from RNAcentral. Lineage: Bacteria; Pseudomonadati; Bacteroidota.
GGACAAUGGAGGCAACUCUGAUCCAGCCAUGCCGCGUGCAGGAAGACUGCCCUAUGGGUUGUAAACUGCUUUUAUACAGGAAGAAACACCCUCACGUGUGAGGGCUUGACGGUACUGUAAGAAUAAGGAUCGGCUAACUCGUGCCAGCAGCCGCGGUAAUACGGAGGAUCCAAGCGUUAUCCGGAAUCAUUGGGUUUAAAGGGUCCGUAGGUGGAUAAUUAAGUCAGAGGUGAAAUCCUGCAGCUCAACUGUAGAAUUGCCUUUGAUACUGGUUAUCUUGAGUUAUUAUGAAGUAGUUAGAAUAUGUAGUGUAGCGGUGAAAUGCAUAGAUAUUACAUAGAAUACCAAUUGCGAAGGCAGAUUACUAAUAAUAUACUGACACUGAUGGACGAAAGCGUGGGUAGCGAACAGGAUUAGAUACCCUGGUAGUCCACGCCGUAAACGAUGGAUACUAGCUGUUCGGUUUCGGCUGAGUGGCUAAGCGAAAGUGAUAAGUAUCCCACCUGGGGAGUACGUUCGCGCAACCCCUGUUGU